AUCAGAAGUGCGAAUGCUGACAUAAGUAACGAUAAAGCGGGUGAAAAGCCCGCUCGCCGGAAGACCAAGGGUUCCUGUCCAACGUUAAUCGGGGCAGGGUGAGUCGACCCCUAAGGCGAGGCCGAAAGGCGUAGUCGAUGGGAAACAGGUUAAUAUUCCUGUACUUGGUGUUACUGCGAAGGGGGGACGGAGAAGGCUAUGUUAGCCGGGCGACGGUUGUC
RNAcentral lists this ribosomal RNA (221 nucleotides) under Klebsiella pneumoniae. RNAcentral describes it as "partial 23S ribosomal RNA". It matches the Rfam family "Bacterial large subunit ribosomal RNA", at positions 1281 to 1506 of the family's 2925-position model. RNAcentral also lists the same sequence under 2 other names. The record is from RNAcentral. Lineage: Bacteria; Pseudomonadati; Pseudomonadota; Gammaproteobacteria; Enterobacterales; Enterobacteriaceae.